This is a long non-coding RNA of Sinocyclocheilus anshuiensis, 200 nucleotides long. RefSeq lists it as uncharacterized. The transcript has 3 exons. The record is from RefSeq and is a predicted model, not a curated record. Lineage: Eukaryota; Metazoa; Chordata; Actinopteri; Cypriniformes; Cyprinidae.
UUUUUUGUGGUAAUUUACAGGUGCUGGGAUCAGUUCUGAUAGCUGCUUUGACAUGUUAUGAAGAUGAUAUAAUUAGGAGUCGAUAUCGAAUUAUGGUGGAAAUAUUGAAUGAAAAUGACAACAUGCCAUAUUUCCUUGAAGACACCAUUCAACCACGAUAUAUAAGUGAGUUGCUUACUGUAAACUCGAUGGUGUUCACA